Non-coding RNA from Pelobates cultripes (western spadefoot toad), 586 nucleotides. Lineage: Eukaryota; Metazoa; Chordata; Amphibia; Anura; Pelobatidae. The record is from the annotation of a GenBank genome assembly.
GUAGUGUAUGUGCAUACAUCCAAGCAGUCAAACACCAGCACAACAUAUUAGCAAUCUAACUCAAAUAUUACAUACACACACCCCUGCUUUCAAACUAAAAAAUAUAUAUACAAACACACCCCUUCACUCAACACAAAUACUUCAGACAAAUGUACAUCUGCAUUUAAAAGUGAACAUUACAUUCAGACACACCCCUGCAAUCAAACACAAACAUUACAUACAAACAUACCCCUGUAUUAAAACACAAUAACUAUAUACAAGCACCCCUUUAAACACCAAUACUGUACAUUACACUAAAGCGCCAGUUAAUGUCGCAGCGCUGUACAGAUUUGCAACCUAGAAAUUUUGACUUGGGUGCCUUGCAAAAAUACUGAAAUAUUAAGGGUGCCUUGAACCUAAAAAGUUUGGGAACCACUGGUCUAUAUAAUUAAUUGAAAUAUUACUAGAACCAUCUGCCAUUCUAUUUAAUAUCUUACAGCAUUUGCCUGUUCAGAAGAUAAUUUACCAAUGAGUGACGAAAAUAAAAAUAUUCCAGUUUAACUGUUUACAUGCCAGGACGUUUUUAGUAGAAAAAUGUACUUCGAUG